Molecule: ribosomal RNA, 183 nt
Filed under: Chaetoniphargus lubuskensis
Lineage: Eukaryota; Metazoa; Arthropoda; Malacostraca; Amphipoda; Niphargidae
Description: partial large subunit ribosomal RNA
Source: RNAcentral
GCGGCUGUGGCCUGGCUCCAUUUGCAUGGACCAUUAAUUGGCAAAGCCAAUCGAGGGUGCCGGGACCGGUCAAGGAACAAAGUCCCCAUUCCCUUUCGCCAGACAUAGAACCAGACGCAGGGGGCUCAUGCAGGAGCAGUAAACUCACGCUCACCCAAACUCUCCUCUUUUUUCUCUCGUGUU